RNAcentral lists this ribosomal RNA (446 nucleotides) under uncultured bacterium. RNAcentral describes it as "bacterial SSU rRNA". It matches the Rfam family "Bacterial small subunit ribosomal RNA", at positions 217 to 662 of the family's 1533-position model. The record is from RNAcentral.
GGUAUGGGAUGAGCUUGCGUCCGAUUAGCUAGUUGGCGGGGCAACGGCCCACCAAGGCGACGAUCGGUAGCCGGCCUGAGAGGGUGAUCGGCCACAUUGGGACUGAGAUACGGCCCAGACUCCUACGGGAGGCAGCAGUAGGGAAUAUUGCACAAUGGGGGGAACCCUGAUGCAGCAACGCCACGUGUGGGAAGAAGCAUUUCGGUGUGUAAACCACUGUCAUGAGGGAAUAAGGCCUAUUUUCGGAUAGGAUUGAAUGUACCUUGAGAGGAAGCACCGGCAAACUUCGUGCCAGCAGCCGCGGUAAUACGAGGGGUGCAAGCGUUGUUCGGAAUUACUGGGCGUAAAGGGAGCGUAGGCGGAGAUUCAAGCGGAUUGUAUAAUCCCGGGGCCCAACCCCGGCUCUGCAGUCCGAACUGGAUCUCUUGGAUAGUUCAGGGGCAGGC